CCUGAAUUCUCUUCUCUCUCCACCAUACUUGGUGUCCAUGGGUACAAUAUUGCCCUUUUUCAAUUUCCCUCAGGAAAACUCUUGUUUCCAGGGGAGAAGAGAAGACCAGCUGCCUGGCUGUAUGAGGCAGCCUUGCAGUUUCUAAGAUUGUGUUGGAGGUUCACAGGCUUCGUUGGGGUGACAGCCACAAAGCCCAGGAAGAAGUCAGGGAUCUCACGCUUUGGACUUGGGGAGUGUGACCUAGCAAACAAGCUGUGGUGGAGAUGGGCCCCUGUACCACCACUGGAACAACGGGCAACCACAGGGCACUGAGUGCUGUGCUGACACAGUGCAGAGUCCCUGCCUGGGGAAAGAGUGUUUGGGUUGUCAGGAAAUUAGAGGCUUUGUUCAAAGACAGGAAAAGAAAACCAAAACCCAGAUCUAGGAGUUGAAGGAAAGAGAAUUCCAGGACUGCAGUGAGGUUGUGGCUUUGUUGUGUCUUUUUGUUUCAGUGGUGCCGAAAUAAUA
RNAcentral lists this long non-coding RNA (507 nucleotides) under Heterocephalus glaber (naked mole-rat). Its description in RNAcentral is "lncRNA (ENSHGLG00100043456.1)". The record is from RNAcentral. Lineage: Eukaryota; Metazoa; Chordata; Mammalia; Rodentia; Bathyergidae.